UUGGCAUGGGCGAAGCCUGUUCCCCCCAUGCCGCGUGUGUNUAAGAACGUCUUCGGAUUGUAAAGCACUUUAAGUUGGGAGGAAGGGCAGUAAGUUAAUACCUUGCUGUUUUGACGUUACCAACAGAAUAAGCACCGGNUAACUUCGUGCCAGCAGCCGCGGUANUACGAAGGGUGCAAGCGUUAAUCGGAAUUACUGGGCGUAAAGCGCGCGUAGGUGGUUCAGCAAGUUGGAUGUGAAAUCCCCGGGCUCAACCUGGGAACUGCAUCCAAAACUACUGAGCUAGAGUACGGUAGAGGGUGGUGGAAUUUCCUGUGUAGCGGUGAAAUGCGUAGAUAUAGGAAGGAACACCAGUCGGCGAAGGCGACCACCUGGACUGAUACUGACACUGAGGUACGAAAGCGUGGGGAGCAAACAGGAUUAGAUACCCUGGUAGUCCACGCCGUAAACGAUGUCGACUAGCCGUUGGGAUCCUUGAGAUCUUAGUGGCGCACUAACGCGAUAAGUCGACCGCCUGGGGGAGUACNGCCGCNAGGUUAAAACUCAAAUGAAUUGACNGGGGCCCGCACAAGCGGUGGAGCAUGUGGUUUUAAUUCGAAGCACCGCGAANAACCUUACCUGGCCUUGACAUGCUGAGAAANUUUUCCANANAUGGGAUUGGUGCCUUCGGGAACUCANACNCAGGUGCUGCAUGGCUGUCNUCCACCUC
This 709-nucleotide ribosomal RNA is filed under the name Pseudomonas sp. enrichment culture clone 2B. RNAcentral's name for it is "bacterial SSU rRNA". It matches the Rfam family "Bacterial small subunit ribosomal RNA", at positions 365 to 1061 of the family's 1533-position model. Lineage: Bacteria; Pseudomonadati; Pseudomonadota; Gammaproteobacteria; Pseudomonadales; Pseudomonadaceae. The record is from RNAcentral.